GAUGAACGCUGGCGGCGUGCCUAAUACAUGCAAGUCGAGCGAACGGGCGAGAAGCUUGUACCUAUGAGGUUAGCGGCGGACGGGUGAGUAACACGUGGAUAACCUACCUAUAAGAGUGGGAUAACUUCGGGAAACGAGAGCUAAUACCGGAUAAAAUUUUGAAACACAUGGUUCAAAAGUGAAAGACGCUAUUGCAGUACCUAAUAGAUGGAUCCGCGCUGCAUUGGCUAGUUGGUAAGGUAACGGCUUACCAAGCCAACGUUGCAUAGCCACCCUGAGAGGGUGUUCGGCCACCCUGGAACUGAGACACGGUCCAGACCCCUACGGGAGGCAGCGGUAGGGAAUCUUCCGCAAUGGGCGAAGGCCUGACGGAGCAACGCGGCGUGAGUGAGGAAGGUCUUCGGAUCGUAAAACUCUUUUAUUAGGGAAGAACAUAUUUGUAAGUAACUGUGCACAUCGUGACGGUACCUAAUCAGAAAGCCACGGCUAACUACGUG
RNAcentral lists this ribosomal RNA (497 nucleotides) under uncultured bacterium. RNAcentral's name for it is "partial 16S ribosomal RNA". It matches the Rfam family "Bacterial small subunit ribosomal RNA", at positions 28 to 507 of the family's 1533-position model. The record is from RNAcentral.